Molecule: long non-coding RNA, 774 nt
Filed under: Prunus dulcis (almond)
Lineage: Eukaryota; Viridiplantae; Streptophyta; Magnoliopsida; Rosales; Rosaceae
Description: sRNA ncRNA
Source: RNAcentral
GUUGGCUUCACACAGAGAGAUCUCCAAGGGAAACUUAUUGGAGAUCGAGAAAUCUCUAGCCGAGCUUUCCUCCCAGCAACUCCAACUGGUUGAUUUGAAGAAAUCACUAAUGGAGGAACUUUGCUUAAUACAUGUCGCUUGUAACCACCCAAGGUUAGUGCAUGGCUUAGUGCAUUGUUUGCCAAACGAUGGAAAAAAAUUUAACACAGAGAGGAAGAAAAAAGCAAAUGUCGUAUGAAAUCUUUGGGGUGGAGGUUGGACUUAUGUUGGCCUUUAUUAUUUAUACCUAAACCCUACAAAUUCUCCAAACUGCAACACUUAAUUAAAUCCUUCCAAAUCUAUCUCCUUUUGAAUACAGGUAAAUUUAUUUGGACUUUUUCCAAGUCCUAAUUGAAUACACCCACAUUUAGAUGCACAUUUUAAAAGUUCAAACAAGUCUAGAUUGAAUACACCUAAACUGUUAUAGACUUUUUAAAAGUUUGUAUAAAUCCAAAUUGAAUACAACUGGAUUUUUAAAAUCUUUUUAAAUGCUCUAGAAUAUCCUUAUUGAAUACAGCCCCCUUAAUUUUUUGGCAUUGACAAUUUAUGAGAUUGCAACACAUAAUAUACGAUUAUUUUGAUGAAAAUUAUGUACCUAAAGUUGGGAAAAUAAAAGCCAGUCCCUUAAAAAAAAAAUAUUAAUUAAUUAAAAAAAAAACCUUGACUAUUUGGUAUGCUCUACUCACAUGCAGGUCGCAUAACUGUUCGGUACACCUAAGUGAACGUUCCAAAUUG